AUGGUGGCGGGCGUACCAGGUGGGUUCCUUGAUGGAGGUCUCCUCCUCGCCGGUCCACCGACGGAGCCGGCUCUCCGUGGCCGCCUCGUCGUCGCCCCCGCCUCCGCCGUGGAGCAUCAUGCCGCUGCCCGCGCCGCCGCCGCCUCCCGUGCCGUCGUUCAGGGCGUCGUCCGUGGCGCCGCUCCCGCCGCCGGGGUCCACGGCCAGCUUGAAGUUCAUGGCGGCGGCGAGGAACGGGGGCACGCCGGGAGGGGCCGCGCCGCCGGACGUGGCGCGGGAGCUCUCCGGGACCGCCGCCGCCUCCACGUCCAGCCCCAGCUGGUGGUGGUGAUGCUGCUGCUGCUGGUGCGGGUGCUGGUGGUGCUGCUGCUGCGGCGCCCACCUCGCCGGCGGCGGCUGCGGCUUGUGAUGCUGCUGCUGCUGCUGCUGCUGCUGCUGCUCGUGGUGGAAGAGCUGGAGGUGGUGGUGCUGCUGGUGGUGGUGCCCGGCGGCCGCCGCCUGGUGGUUGAGGAACUGCUGCGUGAACGGAAUCCCGCCGGCCGCCGCCGCCGCGGGCGCCACGCCGAAGUGCGCGAAGUGGGGCGGCAUCUGCGCCGGAUGCUGCUGCUGCUGCUGCUGGGGAUGGUGCUGCAUCGCGUGGUGGUGCAGCGGCUGGUACCUGAACGGCGCGCCCAGCUCCUGCCCCCCCGCCGCCGCCGCCGCAGCGGCAGCCGCCUGCGCCUGCUGCUGCGGGGCCGCCGCCAUGGCGAAGCCGCCGUCCAUGAUGAACUGCUGGAACUCCGACACCCCUCCAUACCCGGACUGCAUCUCGGCAAUGGCCGCCGCCGCCCCCCUCCCAACUCCACUCCACUCCCCACUCCCAGCAACUACCACCAGCACGGCUCACUCACCCCCGACCUGAAAUUACUCCGCCUCCCGCAUGAUUGGGCAACAGUGGCAGCUCCGGAAUUGAAAUGCGAGCAGGAAUCGGAAUUUGGUGGGCGAGGGUGA
Molecule: ribosomal RNA, 990 nt
Filed under: Triticum aestivum (bread wheat)
Lineage: Eukaryota; Viridiplantae; Streptophyta; Magnoliopsida; Poales; Poaceae
Description: partial small subunit ribosomal RNA
Source: RNAcentral